GACAGAGGUGCCAAGCGUUAGGCGGAAUCACUGGGCUUAAAGCGUGUGUAGGCGGAUUGGUAAGUACCUUGUGAAAUCCCACGGCUCAACCGUGGAACUGCUUGGUAUACUGCUUAUCUUGGGCCACUUAGGGGCUACCGGAACAAACGGUGGAGCGGUGAAAUGCGUAGAUAUCGAGAGGAACACCGGUGGCGAAGGCGGCGAUCUGGACGAUGACUGACGCUGAGACGCGAAAGCGUGGGGAGCAAACAGG
RNAcentral lists this ribosomal RNA (253 nucleotides) under uncultured bacterium. RNAcentral describes it as "partial 16S ribosomal RNA". It matches the Rfam family "Bacterial small subunit ribosomal RNA", at positions 524 to 776 of the family's 1533-position model. The record is from RNAcentral.